RNAcentral lists this ribosomal RNA (512 nucleotides) under uncultured bacterium. Its description in RNAcentral is "partial 16S ribosomal RNA". It matches the Rfam family "Bacterial small subunit ribosomal RNA", at positions 28 to 507 of the family's 1533-position model. The record is from RNAcentral.
GACGAACGCUGGCGGCGUGUCUAAUACAUGCAAGUCGAGCGAGCGGAACUAACAGAUUUACUUCGGUAAUGACGUUAGGAAAGCGAGCGGCGGAUGGGUGAGUAACACGUGGGGAACCUGCCCCAUAGUCUGGGAUACCACUUGGAAACAGGUGCUAAUACCGGAUAAGAAAGCAGAUCGCAUGAUCAGCUUUUAAAAGGCGGCGUAAGCUGUCGCUAUGGGAUGGCCCCGCGGUGCAUUAGCUAGUUGGUAAGGUAAAGGCUUACCAAGGCGAUGAUGCAUAGCCGAGUUGAGAGACUGAUCGGCCACAUUGGGACUGAGACACGGCCCAAACUCCUACGGGAGGCAGCAGUAGGGAAUCUUCCACAAUGGACACAAGUCUGAUGGAGCAACGCCGCGUGAGUGAAGAAGGUUUUCGGAUCGUAAAGCUCUGUUGUUGGUGAAGAAGGAUAGAGGUAGUAACUGGCCUUUAUUUGACGGUAAUCAACCAGAAAGUCACGGCUAACUACGUG